UUGAUUUUGGCUCGCGCGGCUUGCGCAU
Molecule: small RNA, 28 nt
Filed under: Bombyx mori (domestic silkworm)
Lineage: Eukaryota; Metazoa; Arthropoda; Insecta; Lepidoptera; Bombycidae
Description: ovarian small RNA-37775
Source: RNAcentral